UCCUACGGGAGGCAGCAGUGGGGAAUUUUGGACAAUGGGCGAAAGCCUGAUCCAGCAAUGCCGCGUGCAGGAUGAAGGCCUUCGGGUUGUAAACUGCUUUUGUACGGAACGAAAAGCUUCGGGUUAAUACCCUGGAGCCAUGACGGUACCGUAAGAAUAAGCACCGGCUAACUACGUGCCAGCAGCCGCGGUAAUACGUAGGGUGCAAGCGUUAAUCGGAAUUACUGGGCGUAAAGCGUGCGCAGGCGGUUUUGUAAGACAGAGGUGAAAUCCCCGGGCUCAACCUGGGAACUGCCUUUGUGACUGCAAGGCUAGAGUACGGCAGAGGGGGAUGGAAUUCCGCGUGUAGCAGUGAAAUGCGUAGAUAUGCGGAGGAACACCGAUGGCGAAGGCAAUCCCCUGGGCCUGUACUGACACUCAUGCACGAAAGCGUGGGGAGCAAACAGGAUUAGAUACCCUGGUAGUCCACGCCCUAAACGAUGUCAACUGGUUGUUGGGUCUUAAUUGACUCAGUAACGAAGCUAACGCGUGAAGUUGACCGCCUGGGGAGUACGGCCGCAAGGUUGAAACUCAAA
This 575-nucleotide ribosomal RNA is filed under the name uncultured bacterium. RNAcentral describes it as "bacterial SSU rRNA". It matches the Rfam family "Bacterial small subunit ribosomal RNA", at positions 337 to 905 of the family's 1533-position model. The record is from RNAcentral.